GCCGGGCGCGAUGGCUCACACCUGUAAUCCCAGCACUUUGGGAGGCUGAGGUGGGUGGAUCACCUGAGGUCAGGAGUUCGAGACCAGCCUGGCCAACAUGGUGAAACCCCAUCUCUG
Molecule: non-coding RNA, 117 nt
Filed under: Gorilla gorilla gorilla (western lowland gorilla)
Lineage: Eukaryota; Metazoa; Chordata; Mammalia; Primates; Hominidae
Source: Rfam by way of RNAcentral